AUUUUUUGUGGGCCCACGUCUCAUCUCUCUCUCCCUCCCGAUUCUUCUCCAACCUCUCUCUCUCUCUCUCCCACACACCACCGCCGCCGCUCCUCCCACUUUAUCCCUCACCGCCGCAGCCGGUACGCGCUCCCCGGCCACCUCCACCGGCGCCCGCUCCCCAACCGGCCACCCUUUCCCCCUACCCGAGGUCAGCGGACAUCCGUGGCGCUCCCCAAUAUGCUAAGGCCAGGACCGCGUCGCCACCUUCGCCAGGGACGGGGACGAGCGGCUGGUCGCCGACCUCGCAACUAACCUCGCCUGGUCCGUGGAGUCCGUCCAGGUCACCCUAUGCAGCGUGUUCGACAAGGACGAUACCUGCCACCGCAAGAUCGAGUGUGUCCUCCCCGCCGACGGCACCGCUGUUAAGCCCAUCAGGCUGCAAGCCAUCUUGCUAGGCGAACGUGAUUUAUAAUGAAAUUGUGUCAGCGGCUUCCUUUCCUUCAUUGAGGGCCUGCUGCAAAUAUAACUACCAGCACAGUUGGUGUGGCGACGACGACGACGACGACAUCGACAUGGGGUUGUGAUGAGGAUUUCCUCGACACAGGGAUGCAGCGAUUGUGACAUUACACGCGGUUGCGGUGGUGGUGGUGGUGGUGGCGACGACGACGGCGGUGAUGUCGAAGACAUCAAUGAUGGUCACCUUGUAGAACUGAUAUAUAUAUGUUUGGGGCACCUAGGUGCCUGGGCACCUCGAACGGGUCCAACCCGUUAGUGCGGUUUCCAUAAAUUCUGAUUUGUUUCCUAAUAUUUGCAUGCAAGACUUUCCAUAUAUGAGAUAGAAUCAAGUAUUUUAAAUUCCAUGAAUUAGUACAUCUCCUUUUAUUGCUUUCCUUCUCUCAUACGUUUUCAUGCAUACGUUGUACACACCAUGUAUUUGCACUUAUAUAGAGAAAUUUAUUUGGUACCA
Molecule: long non-coding RNA, 949 nt
Organism: Hordeum vulgare subsp. vulgare (domesticated barley)
Lineage: Eukaryota; Viridiplantae; Streptophyta; Magnoliopsida; Poales; Poaceae
Exons: 3
Source: RefSeq, a predicted model, not a curated record